Molecule: ribosomal RNA, 1328 nt
Filed under: Staphylococcus aureus
Lineage: Bacteria; Bacillati; Bacillota; Bacilli; Caryophanales; Staphylococcaceae
Description: partial 23S ribosomal RNA
Rfam family: Bacterial large subunit ribosomal RNA
Source: RNAcentral
ACGGUGGAUGCCUUGGCACUAGAAGCCGAUGAAGGACGUUACUAACGACGAUAUGCUUUGGGGAGCUGUAAGUAAGCUUUGAUCCAGAGAUUUCCGAAUGGGGAAACCCAGCAUGAGUUAUGUCAUGUUAUCGAUAUGUGAAUACAUAGCAUAUCAGAAGGCACACCCGGAGAACUGAAACAUCUUAGUACCCGGAGGAAGAGAAAGAAAAUUCGAUUCCCUUAGUAGCGGCGAGCGAAACGGGAAGAGCCCAAACCAACAAGCUUGCUUGUUGGGGUUGUAGGACACUCUAUACGGAGUUACAAAGGACGACAUUAGACGAAUCAUCUGGAAAGAUGAAUCAAAGAAGGUAAUAAUCCUGUAGUCGAAAAUGUUGUCUCUCUUGAGUGGAUCCUGAGUACGACGGAGCACGUGAAAUUCCGUCGGAAUCUGGGAGGACCAUCUCCUAAGGCUAAAUACUCUCUAGUGACCGAUAGUGAACCAGUACCGUGAGGGAAAGGUGAAAAGCACCCCGGAAGGGGAGUGAAAUAGAACCUGAAACCGUGUGCUUACAAGUAGUCAGAGCCCGUUAAUGGGUGAUGGCGUGCCUUUUGUAGAAUGAACCGGCGAGUUACGAUUUGAUGCAAGGUUAAGCAGUAAAUGUGGAGCCGUAGCGAAAGCGAGUCUGAAUAGGGCGUUUAGUAUUUGGUCGUAGACCCGAAACCAGGUGAUCUACCCUUGGUCAGGUUGAAGUUCAGGUAACACUGAAUGGAGGACCGAACCGACUUACGUUGAAAAGUGAGCGGAUGAACUGAGGGUAGCGGAGAAAUUCCAAUCGAACCUGGAGAUAGCUGGUUCUCUCCGAAAUAGCUUUAGGGCUAGCCUCAAGUGAUGAUUAUUGGAGGUAGAGCACUGUUUGGACGAGGGGCCCCUCUCGGGUUACCGAAUUCAGACAAACUCCGAAUGCCAAUUAAUUUAACUUGGGAGUCAGAACAUGGGUGAUAAGGUCCGUGUUCGAAAGGGAAACAGCCCAGACCACCAGCUAAGGUCCCAAAAUAUAUGUUAAGUGGAAAAGGAUGUGGCGUUGCCCAGACAACUAGGAUGUUGGCUUAGAAGCAGCCAUCAUUUAAAGAGUGCGUAAUAGCUCACUAGUCGAGUGACACUGCGCCGAAAAUGUACCGGGGCUAAACAUAUUACCGAAGCUGUGGAUUGUCCUUUGGACAAUGGUAGGAGAGCGUUCUAAGGGCGUUGAAGCAUGAUCGUAAGGACAUGUGGAGCGCUUAGAAGUGAGAAUGCCGGUGUGAGUAGCGAAAGACGGGUGAGAAUCCCGUCCACCGAUUGACUAAGGU